GAUGAACGCUAGCUACAGGCUUAACACAUGCAAGUCGAGGGGAAACGACAUCGGAAGCUUGCUUUUGAUGGGCGUCGACCGGCGCACGGGUGAGUAACGCGUAUCCAACCUGCCCAUCACUUGGGGAUAACCUUGCGAAAGUAAGACUAAUACCCAAUGACGUCCAUAGAAGACAUCUGAAAUGGAUUAAAGAUUUAUCGGUGAUGGAUGGGGAUGCGUCUGAUUAGCUUGUUGGCGGGGUAACGGCCCACCAAGGCGACGAUCAGUAGGGGUUCUGAGAGGAAGGUCCCCCANAUUGGAACUGAGACACGGUCCAAAACUCCUACGGGAGGCAGCAGUGAGGAAUAUUGGUCAAUGGGCGCAGGCCUGAACCAGCCAAGUUCGCGUGAGGGAAGACGGUCUACGGAUUGUAAACCUCUUUUGUCGGGGA
RNAcentral lists this ribosomal RNA (430 nucleotides) under uncultured bacterium. RNAcentral's name for it is "bacterial SSU rRNA". It matches the Rfam family "Bacterial small subunit ribosomal RNA", at positions 28 to 445 of the family's 1533-position model. The record is from RNAcentral.